GGGUAGCGACCGGUUAAAUCAAUAGAGUCGGAUAAGCAUGUAGAGCCAAAGGCGGAGGAUUCGCGGACGCGGGUUCAAUUCCCGCCGCCUCCACCA
This 96-nucleotide transfer RNA is filed under the name Methylocaldum sp. RMAD-M. RNAcentral's name for it is "tRNA-OTHER". It matches the Rfam family "transfer-messenger RNA", at positions 276 to 374 of the family's 374-position model. Rfam says of the family: Bacterial tmRNA, also known as 10Sa RNA or SsrA, is named for its dual tRNA and mRNA-like properties. Its role is to liberate the mRNA from a stalled ribosome. To accomplish this part of the tmRNA is used as a reading frame that ends in a translation stop signal. Lineage: Bacteria; Pseudomonadati; Pseudomonadota; Gammaproteobacteria; Methylococcales; Methylococcaceae. The record is from RNAcentral.